This 320-nucleotide ribosomal RNA is filed under the name uncultured eukaryote. RNAcentral's name for it is "partial 18S ribosomal RNA". It matches the Rfam family "Eukaryotic small subunit ribosomal RNA", at positions 1470 to 1796 of the family's 1831-position model. The record is from RNAcentral.
CCCUUAGAUGUUCUGGGCUGCACGCGUGCUACAAUGGCGCUUGCAACAAGUCUUGCCAACCCGAUAGGGUGAGCGGAUCUUUGAAGAGGCGUCGUGAUCGGGACAGUUGAAUGCAAUUAUUCGACUCGAACGAGGAAUUCCUUGUAAUCGCGAUUCAUCAUAUCGCGCUGAAUACGUCCCUGCCCUUUGUACACACCGCCCGUCGCUCCUACCGAUUGAGCGAUCCGGUGAAUGUUUUGGACUGGCGUCAGAAGCGGUUCGCUCCUGACACUACGAAAUUUUGUAAACCUUAUCGCUUAGAGGAAGGAAAAGUCGUAACA